UUGAUGAGUAGCAGAGUACGAUUCACAUGUUUCUCGUUUUAGUAAGGUACAGAUUUCACAUGCCAUUAACUUCUUGAAAAGUGCAAGAUUAUAUGUAAUUAAAUGCAUGUGUAAAUAUGAAUGUAAAUCAAGGUCUUUUUGGUAUCUUAGGAGAGUGUUUAAACUUGGUACAUAUGGUAAACCUUACAGUGGAUGUGUCCUCAGCCUC
Molecule: long non-coding RNA, 208 nt
Filed under: Carica papaya (papaya)
Lineage: Eukaryota; Viridiplantae; Streptophyta; Magnoliopsida; Brassicales; Caricaceae
Description: long non-coding RNA (CPAP_LNC006060)
Source: RNAcentral